GUUCGACCCAUUUGGGUUAGAUGAACUCAUUUGAUAGCUCGAUGCAACUUCAAUCCUAUAAUUGAGGUCACCCACAGUUCUGUAGUUGGUGAUUCAUAGCUUUCUAAGCAACUUUGGCUUCGCAUUUUCUCACCUACAGAUACUUUUGAAUUAGUCUGCAUUAAAAGAUCUUGAUGUCAAGAACACGUAACAUAAUGGUUGCAAUAGGCUUGGUAGCUUUUGCAAGUGCAUGUUUAGCUUUUCCCUUUUAUAUGGCGUAAGCCGACUAGGUCAUCAUCAAAGGCCCAGGUUAUUGAUUCAUCAAAACCAUUGCCACCUCAAGCAACUUUUAGAGGACCUUAUAUCAAUAUUGGAUCACGUGAUGUUGGACCUGAUUAUCAGACUUAUUCCAAGAAAUAAUCUUUUUUAGCUACUUUAUUUUUAUUUGUGUCAUGUAUUGUAGUAACUAAAGUAUUUAUAAAACAAUGUACUUUGUUAAAAUGAUUAAAUUAAUAAUAUCAAUCCGUUUGGUUUC
Lactuca sativa (garden lettuce) is the source of this 514-nucleotide long non-coding RNA. RefSeq lists it as uncharacterized. The record is from RefSeq and is a predicted model, not a curated record. NCBI's taxonomy places the organism in Eukaryota, Viridiplantae, Streptophyta, Magnoliopsida, Asterales, Asteraceae.